RNAcentral lists this ribosomal RNA (1030 nucleotides) under Escherichia coli. RNAcentral describes it as "partial 23S ribosomal RNA". It matches the Rfam family "Bacterial large subunit ribosomal RNA", at positions 291 to 1324 of the family's 2925-position model. The record is from RNAcentral. Lineage: Bacteria; Pseudomonadati; Pseudomonadota; Gammaproteobacteria; Enterobacterales; Enterobacteriaceae.
CGGGGAGCAGCCCAGAGCCUGAAUCAGUGUGUGUGUUAGUGGAAGCGUCUGGAAAGGCGUGCGAUACAGGGUGACAGCCCCGUACACAAAAAUGCACAUACUGUGAGCUCGAUGAGUAGGGCGGGACACGUGGUAUCCUGUCUGAAUAUGGGGGGACCAUCCUCCAAGGCUAAAUACUCCUGACUGACCGAUAGUGAACCAGUACCGUGAGGGAAAGGCGAAAAGAACCCCGGCGAGGGGAGUGAAAAAGAACCUGAAACCGUGUACGUACAAGCAGUGGGAGCACAGAGCAAUCUGUGUGACUGCGUACCUUUUGUAUAAUGGGUCAGCGACUUAUAUUCUGUAGCAAGGUUAACCGAAUAGGGGAGCCGAAGGGAAACCGAGUCUUAACUGGGCGUUAAGUUGCAGGGUAUAGACCCGAAACCCGGUGAUCUAGCCAUGGGCAGGUUGAAGGUUGGGUAACACUAACUGGAGGACCGAACCGACUAAUGUUGAAAAAUUAGCGGAUGACUUGUGGCUGGGGGUGAAAGGCCAAUCAAACCGGGAGAUAGCUGGUUCUCCCCGAAAGCUAUUUAGGUAGCGCCUCGUGAAUUCAUCUCCGGGGGUAGAGCACUGUUUCGGCAAGGGGGUCAUCCCGACUUACCAACCCGAUGCAAACUGCGAAUACCGGAGAAUGUUAUCACGGGAGACACACGGCGGGUGCUAACGUCCGUCGUGAAGAGGGAAACAACCCAGACCGCCAGCUAAGGUCCCAAAGUCAUGGUUAAGUGGGAAACGAUGUGGGAAGGCCCAGACAGCCAGGAUGUUGGCUUAGAAGCAGCCAUCAUUUAAAGAAAGCGUAAUAGCUCACUGGUCGAGUCGGCCUGCGCGGAAGAUGUAACGGGGCUAAACCAUGCACCGAAGCUGCGGCAGCGACACUUAUGUGUUGUUGGGUAGGGGAGCGUUCUGUAAGCCUGCGAAGGUGUGCUGUGAGGCAUGCUGGAGGUAUCAGAAGUGCGAAUGCUGACAUAAGUAACGAUAAAGCGGGUGA